This 272-nucleotide ribosomal RNA is filed under the name uncultured bacterium. RNAcentral's name for it is "partial 16S ribosomal RNA". It matches the Rfam family "Bacterial small subunit ribosomal RNA", at positions 524 to 794 of the family's 1533-position model. The record is from RNAcentral.
UACGGAGGGUGCAAGCGUUGUUCGGAAUCACUGGGCGUAAAGGGCGUGUAGGCGGUCCGCUAAGUCUGAUGUGAAAGCCCGGGGCUCACCCCCGGAGGGCGAUUGGAAACUGGCAGACUCGAGUCCCGGACGAGGAAGGUGGAAUUCCUGGUGUAGCGGUGAAAUGCGUAGAUAUCAGGAGGAAUACCGGUGGCGAAGGCGGCCUUCUGGACGGUGACUGACGCUGAGACGCGAAAGCGUGGGGAGCAAACAGGAUUAGAUACCCUAGUAGU